GAGACUCUAGUAAUAAAAAUUGCACUACCUUGUCAAGGUCAGAAUUGUGGGUUUAAAUCCCACGAAUCUCU
This 71-nucleotide transfer RNA is filed under the name Eurypharynx pelecanoides (pelican eel). RNAcentral describes it as "tRNA-Asp". It matches the Rfam family "tRNA". From Rfam's summary of the family: Transfer RNA (tRNA) molecules are approximately 80 nucleotides in length. Their secondary structure includes four short double-helical elements and three loops (D, anti-codon, and T loops). Lineage: Eukaryota; Metazoa; Chordata; Actinopteri; Anguilliformes; Eurypharyngidae. The record is from RNAcentral.